This 427-nucleotide ribosomal RNA is filed under the name Metschnikowia dekortorum. RNAcentral's name for it is "LSU rRNA". It matches the Rfam family "Eukaryotic large subunit ribosomal RNA", at positions 22 to 470 of the family's 3401-position model. The record is from RNAcentral. RNAcentral also lists the same sequence under 1 other name. Lineage: Eukaryota; Fungi; Ascomycota; Pichiomycetes; Serinales; Metschnikowiaceae.
UACCCGCUGAACUUAAGCAUAUCAAUAAGCGGAGGAAAAGAAACCAACAGGGAUUACCUUAGUAACGGCGAGUGAAGCGGUAAAAGCUCAAAUUUGAAAUCUUCGGAAUUGUAAUUUGACGGGUAGAAUUUGUUUUUUAAAGAAAGUUCACUGGAAUGUGACGCCACAGAGGGUGAUAGCCCCGUUAACUAAAAGAAACUACUUAAUUCUAUUCCUAAGAGUCGGGUUGUUUGGGAAUGCAGCUCAAAGUGGGUGGUAAAUUCCAUCUAAAGCUAAAUAUUGGCGAGAGACCGAUAGCGAACAAGUACAGUGAUGGAAAGAUGAAAAGAACUUUGAAAAGAGAGUGAAAUAGUACGUGAAAUUGUUGAAAGGGAAGGGAAAGGGGGAGAUAAUUCAAGCUAAUACUUCUGUGUUGCUUGACCACAUC